Molecule: small RNA, 1097 nt
Filed under: Pongo abelii (Sumatran orangutan)
Lineage: Eukaryota; Metazoa; Chordata; Mammalia; Primates; Hominidae
Description: retained intron
Source: RNAcentral
CAGCCUUGUGGUACUAUUUUCAUUUUACACACGUGGAAGCAGGCUUAGAUGAAAUGGUUAGUCUAGAUCAUAUGGCUCGUAGCCCAUGCUUUUCACAUAUGCUAAGCCAUAGUUCCUCUCUCUAGCCCUCUUUUUCUUAAGAUAGCCUGUUAGAUUUCUAGAAUAUCUUAGGAUACUCUGCAGACUGAAAUUUGGGGAUAGGGCUUUUGGUCAGCUUACCAUGUUUGUAUUUUUUCCCAAACCUUAUUGGAGCUGGGUUUUUUUUCCCCUCAGGUAUUGGCCAUGUCAAGCCGCUCAUGGUUGAGCUAUUCUUACCAAUCUCGCUUCCAUCUCACCCCCCUGUCUUACGAGACACUGGAAUUUGCAUCGGGUUUUGCCUCGGAACAGUGUCCCGAGGGCAUUGUGGCCAUCUCCACCAACACCCUACGGAUUUUGGCGUUAGAAAAGCUCGGUGCUGUCUUCAAUCAAGUAGCCUUCCCACUGCAGUACACACCCAGGAAAUUUGUCAUCCACCCUGAGAGUAACAACCUUAUUAUCAUUGAAACGGACCACAAUGCCUACACUGAGGCCACAAAAGCUCAGAGAAAGCAGCAGAUGGCAGAGGAAAUGGUGGAAGCAGCAGGGGAGGAUGAGCGGGAGUUGGCCGCAGAGAUGGCAGCAGCAUUCCUCAAUGAAAACCUCCCUGAAUCCAUCUUUGGAGCUCCUAAGGCUGGCAGUGGGCAGUGGGCCUCUGUGAUCCGGGUGAUGAAUCCCAUUCAGGGGAACACACUGGACCUUGUGCAGCUGGAACAGAAUGAGGCAGCUUUUAGUGUGGCUGUGUGCAGGUUUUCCAACACUGGUGAAGACUGGUAUGUGCUGGUGGGUGUGGCCAAGGACCUGAUACUAAACCCCCGAUCUGUGGCAGGGGGCUUCGUCUAUACUUACAAGCUUGUGAACAAUGGGGAAAAACUGGAGUUUUUGCACAAGACUCCUGUGGAAGAGGUCCCUGCUGCCAUUGCCCCAUUCCAGGGGAGGGUGUUGAUUGGUGUGGGGAAGCUGUUGCGUGUCUAUGACCUGGGAAAGAAGAAGUUACUCCGAAAGUGUGAGAAUAAGGUAAG